Cyprinus carpio (common carp) is the source of this 235-nucleotide long non-coding RNA. RefSeq lists it as uncharacterized. Lineage: Eukaryota; Metazoa; Chordata; Actinopteri; Cypriniformes; Cyprinidae. The record is from RefSeq and is a predicted model, not a curated record. The transcript is spliced from 3 exons.
CUGGACAUACUGUUUUUCCACGCAAUUCUAAAAACUUCCAAGAUGAGUACUCCAGCCGUCUCUGUGAUGGUCUGCCUGAGAGAUGCUCACUGGAGCUGAGAAACGUGAAGUGGGCAAUGUAAAAGAACUGCGCGUCUUCGAGCCGUCGUCCAGGAGUCUCCUGAUGUGUUAAUAUCCAGCAUGUAGUUCUCAGAGAUACUUUUCCACAUGCAGAAGGGUAUCGGUGGAUCAGAAG